RNAcentral lists this long non-coding RNA (8468 nucleotides) under Brachypodium distachyon (stiff brome). RNAcentral's name for it is "long non-coding RNA (BDIS_LNC004937)". The stretch from base 3678 to 3789 matches the Rfam family "MIR1120/MIR1122 microRNA precursor family". Lineage: Eukaryota; Viridiplantae; Streptophyta; Magnoliopsida; Poales; Poaceae. The record is from RNAcentral.
CCAUUACCGUUAGUAUCUGGUCUAAGCAGCGUUAGAAUCAACAUUCCUCCUGAUCUACGACCACCUGAAGCAAGACAAAAUAUACUUUUUGCAGUUCAAGAACUGGGAAAGCGUUAUCCCCAAGGGCUUCCGAAGCUACAUCCAAUUACGGUGAAAAAUCUUCUUACAUAAUGCCACUCUCUAGUUUUUGUUUUAGAGAGGCUGAAAUUUCAAAAAAAAAUAAAAAAAAUAAUUCAGGAACUAGUUCUACAUGUACAGAUCCCUUUAUGAUUGAUGCUGCUCCUCCUUUUUGCAUUUCUGCCUGUAAUAUUUAGUCGGUCCAGUUUCUCAGAGUAAUCUUUUCCAGAAAUAUAUCAGCAAGAAUCCUAAAGCAAUCUUUUGAAAUCCUGCAGUCAUUUUGAUUCUGAUAUAAUCUGAUUAUAAUUACUAGGACAUGGGUAUUGAAGAACCUGAAUUAGUUGACUUGGUUCAUAAACUUGAGGAUCUCGAGCAGAAACUAUGUUCUCAUCCACUUCAUAAGGUAUGCUUUGUUUUCCCCUUUAGACAAAUGUCCAAUCCCUGUUCUAUUUAACCGAUUUAUUUUGUGCUAUUUUGGUGUCACAGUCUGAUCAAAAUGAGCAGCAACUAUCAUGGUACCAAAGAAAAGCUGAGCUAAAUCAUGAAAUUCAACAACUGAAGUCAAAGAUGCGUGAUUCACAGGUUAGCUGAAUUUUUGCAUGGUAGGUCCCUUUUAGUCUGUCAAAUGUGCUCUUACACUCUCCUCUGUUCAGCUACAAAAAUUUAGGGAUGAACUUAAGAACCGGUCUCGCGUUCUCAAGAUGCUUGGUCACAUUGACGGGGAUGGUGUUCUUCAGUUAAAGGGACGUGCUGCCUGUUUAAUAGACACAGGGGAUGAGCUGCUUAUCACUGAACUUAUGUUUAAUGGUACCUGUUGAUAUGAUUUUCCGUGCUCACUUUUUUUUUGUUUACUUUAUAUUCAAUUGCAUUAAUGCAUUUAUGUGACUAGGUACAUUUAAUGAUCUUGAUCAUCAUCAAGUUGCUUCAGUUGUUAGCUGCUUUGUACCAUGUGAGAAGUCAAAUGAGCAAAUACGCCUGAGAAAUGAGCUGUCUAAGCCAAUGAUGCAACUGCAGGAGGCUGCAAGAAAAAUAGCUGAGGUGCAUACUUGUUUUAUCAUCACUAUUUUGCCGUUUCUCUGUAUUUGAUUGGGAUCUCUGAUUUCUCAUUCUUGAGUUAGGUACAACGAGAAUGCAAAUUGGACGUAAAUGUGGAGGAGUACGUUGAAUCAACUUGUAAACCCUACCUGAUGGACGUCAUAUACUGCUGGUCAAAGGUUGGUCAGCAGUAGCAAUUCCUGAAUCCUGAUAUUCAAGAUCUUUUUUUCUGUCCCUUUCGGACAUUUUCCCAGCAUCGAUACAUCUUAUUUUGAAUUAUGGGUUCUUAUAAUCUAUAAACGCCCAUCAGAUGCACUUAUAAAUAUAUAUUGGUACUGCUGCUGUUUAGUAUGUCAAUUCCGAAUUUAUUUAUUUUCUCACAGGGCGCCACCUUUGGAGAAGUGAUAGAAAUGACUGACAUUUUUGAAGGAAGCAUCAUAAGGCUUGUGAGGAGACUGGAUGAAUUUCUGAAUCAGGUAGACUAUCUGUAUUUAUUUUUAAACCUAUUCCAGCUGGUUUUUCCCACCACUAGUACCUAAUCACUAGGGCAACCAGAAUGUGAUGUCUGCCUUUGAUUAUCCCCUUUGCUCAAUGUUGCGAAUCAAAAAGGGACAAUGCUUCUAGAUAAAUGUCCGUUAAAGUGUCAAGGAACAUUAUCUCUCAGUGUGACAUAACUAAAUAUGGCGAACUAGAUGAAGUCUAGUUCUAGUGUCAACAACAAUUCAUGGCCCAACUUCACUUGUUUUACUGCCUGAUUUCGUAACUUGCUUGGCAGUGUAAAUAAGUGUAACUUGUUCAAUAAUCUCUAGUUCAUUUAAUCUCUAGAAAGCACAUUGUGAUUGGCAUCCCCUUUGUUCUAUGCCUGUUCCCGCAUGCCAACCGCUUAUUUUUCCUGUCUCCCAAGUGCAUACAUAGUCCAUAAAAUUAAAUCCAUCUGGCUUCCUUUUCUGACCAAGCUAAUUCUGUGGAUCUGUUGCCAGCUAAAAGCUGCCGCUGAAGCUGUUGGGGAGGUCAACCUUGAGAACAAGUUUGGAUCGGCGAGCGAGAGCUUACGCCGGGGUAUCAUGUUUGCCAACUCGUUGUAUCUCUGACGAAUGGAGCUCCUCCAGCAGUUGUACUACCAUAUAUGUUAGCAAACCAAACGUAGUUCUCAUUUUUUGCCUUAUGGCAUGGCAUCGAAAUGUAACCCUUAUCUAUCAGAAUGUAGGGUGUAGCCUUGUACCCUGUUAACCCCCUAGGCAUCAACUGUUCCACCAGAAGACUGGAAGCCAUCUGUGCUAUGCACCAGCUUAUCUAUGUCCAAUACAUGUAUACAUCAGGUGGUGCUAGCAUUUUUGUAAUCGGCCCAAAAUGGCACGAAAGUUCUAUUACGCCUGCCUCAUUUUAGAGAUCAUUCAGGUUCAUAUAAGAUGAUGUGAUUCGGAGGGCUUGGAUAGUUGGAUGUGCUGUUAUGAUGUUAUCAGGCAGUUCUCUUUACUUUGCCACGGCAUCUUUUGACGGGAUCUAGUUAGGCAUGAUAUAGCAAGCAGCUAAAUUUAUUUUGCUUUCAAUACAAAGAUACCUGAUUCUAGACGGUUUAUCUUGUUACGAGGAACGGUUGUGUGUAAUCUUACACGGAGGCGUUGUGUGUGAUCUUACAUGGUUACUUCCUAGUUCCUACUAGGUUGUAUCUAAAGUCUUUUCUUGCAAUGGAAAAAUACGCAAAUCUUCAAUGUAAGAGCAAUUUUUUGUGUUAUCACAGCAGCUUAUAUGUUACUCCCUCCGUUUCAUAAUUUUUGUUGAAAUAUUACAUGUAUCUAGAUAUUUUUUAGGAAUAGAUACAUCCAUUUUUCGACAACUUUUAGACAAGAACGAUGGAACGGAGGGAAUACAAUCUAUAUUGCUAUAUCACCAAUUGCAUUUAGCUCUAGUACGCUCUUUAUUUUAAUUUUUACAAAAGAAAUACAAUAUGUGAAAUUUCCCAAAAAUAAUGGAAAACGAAACACAAUCUGAAUUUUCGUGGAUUCAGUGUAUUUCCACAUUGAUUUAUUUAAUUCUUCAAUUUGAGGUGCACUUUUAGAAACAAAAAACAAAGAGGUACAUAAUUUUUUUUUCUAUGGAAAUUUGCAGAUUCAUAGUGCGUCUUCGCAUGUGUGCACAGUUUCUGGUUCCUUUUUUUCAUUUACAGUGCACCUUUUGCAAACUUUCAGAAUAAAGAGCUAAACAUCUACCCCCUUGCCUGGCCAUGGAUUUUAUCACCCAAUUUUCACCCGUUUGCAAGUUUUGUGCUAUGAGUAGAGAACUUUAAAGCAGUCAACAGAAUAUACUAAAACCACCAGUGGUGUAACAAAUUUGUAAUUCAUCUUGCAAAACAUCAUAUACAUUCUGCAAUAGUGUUCGGAGCCUGAAAUAAAUUCAAAUAAGAACAUCUGAUGCUACAAAUCACACGGGAACAGAAACACGCUUCCCUUCUCUUUGAUACAGAUUAUUCUUUUCUAAAAUGUUACAGAGCUGAUGGACAAUCAUCGCUUUUCUUCACAGCAUCUUUACUACUCCCUCCGUCCAACAAAAGAUGUCUCAAGUUUGUGACUUAGUGUAUAGAUGCAUUCAAAUUUGAUGAAAGUUGAGACAUCCUUUGUUGGACGGAGGGAGUAGUACAUUCUUAUCUUCAACUUUACAAAGAAUGCCAUAUAAAUAAUCAGGAGCAAAACUGAUGACCCAUGGAUGCCAACAAAGUUGAGAAGUUACAUGUGUAGCUAGAUGAAUCGAGGAUUGUGUCCAGUUUCGCCACUUCUUGGCUUCUUGCGAUGCUGUCCAUGUACGGUUAACUAAGAAUUUUGGUGUGCCUAGUCAGCUGGUUCUAUUUACCAGCUGAUAGCAUCUUCUGAAGCUGGAUCACCUGCUGCUGCUGCUCAAUUGGCAGCGAACUCAGCUGCUCAGGUGUCAGUUGCAAGACUUGCUGCAGAAGAACUGAUUCGUCGUCGGGCGUGAGCUGUAGCAGAGUGAGAAUUAGAAUUGUGAUCACACGGAAAUUUUAGGUCCAGAAACCUUGUGUGCCAGUACAUUCAAUUCCACCAGAUGACGCUAAGUGUUUAGAUAGUCAAAAAAUUUGGAUGCUUACCCAGCAUCCAAGAAACAGAAAACCUGUAAACUGAAUUAAACAUCAAGGGGAUUACCUGAGGCGCUUCGUUCUCUGGUUGCUGAAAGUUAACAGCACCAGAACUGCAGCUCCCUGAUGGCCCACAAGGGACCACUACCUGUGAUGGAGCGGGAUAAACAGCAGCAUUAUUGUUUACAUUUCCAGAAGCUGAUGUUCCAUCCUCCAAUUUCCGUAAUUUUGAAGGAUGAGCUAACUCUGCCUGAUAACUAGUUCGAUCAGGCAAUCUAAUUUCCUUCAUGGGUAUCUCAGGCGCAGCAGCAACCUGCAACGUGACACUAAGUUAGCCAGUGUGGAAGUGUAAAAAAAAAGUUGUUCUGCAUGAACAGUAAAGUUAAAAGCGCAUCUUGUCUAUACACUUCAGUUAAUCUAUGGGCAUAAGAAAAUAUAGAUGCAUGGUUAAUAACUGUACAGUUUGGUGGUUCAAGUACAUAGUCUACGGGAGUUCCAUAUAUUAGAAGGCCUGAUUAAGAUAGUGCCAAAAAAUAGAAGACCUGAUUAAGACGAUUCAUCAGUCAUCACAAACUUUGGCUUGCUACUUAUGAAUGAAAAUAAGCUCCUUAUAUACGAAGAAAUACCUGGGAGAGAUGAGGAUUGGUCAAAGGUAGUUGCUGUACAUUAGUUGGCAUAACUUGUGGUCUAGGGUGCUGUGGCAAAAAUGGAGGCUGGACUUGCGAUAUCAAGCCUCCUGAGGUUGCAAGGGGUUGAGUAGGAACACUGGAAGAGGUGCUAAAGGGUUGAGACGAAAGCUGAUACUGGUGUCCAUGCGGAAAUAUUUUGAUUGGAGGCUGAGACGAAUGCUGAUACUGAGGAAAAUUAUGCAGUGGUGCAGUUGGUUCCUGUUUUGGAACAACUGGUAUCACAGCAUCUGGUUGCGGAAAUGAUUCAUUGAGGUGAGCAGAAGAUUGUGUCAAUGAGCUAGAGAGUUGUUGGUUCUUCGCCAUCUGCAUCUGCUAUUUCAGAAUACCUAGAUUAGUAUAUUGCAGAAUCCAAGAAGACAUCAGGUGCAUCAAGCUCAAAAGAAACAAGAAUAUACCAUCUGAGGUGUCACCAUCCCGAGCAUUAUUUGUGCCUGCAUUGCAACAAGGAAAAAGUUAUGAGGUUUUAAUCUUCCAUUCUAUGCUAGAAUCACAAUUGAGCAAUGAACAAGAGAAUUUCAAAACAAGCUCUUUCAUCGCAUCGUUGUAGAUUAGCAAAAAUGAAAUGGUAGUUGGUUAAACUUAUAUUGAAAAGGGUGAAUGAAAUGUCUAACAACAAACAGCACAAUAAAAAAUAAACAUUUGUCAACCCUGAACUCUAAAGCCAUUGAAAUGAAACUUUGAACUAUUGAAGCCGCCCACUUUUCCCCUCGAGCGGUUUCAUGAGUAAUUUUGUCUGACAUGGAUGCCUACUGUCAUGUCACUCCAUGCCAUCAUUUUUUUAACCUGUUUCUACAAAUUCUCUUCCAUUCUCUAGUAAUCUUUUGCGCAUGUUUUUAUUCAGAUAAUGAGGAUGUUUUAGAUAGUGUGUUGUGUUGUGUUUCUCUGUCAUGGCAUUGAAAUGCCAGUGACAUGGAGGACACAUCGCAUCCACGACACCCAAAACCACUUAUGAAACCCCAGAGGGUCAAAAGUGAACUAUUUCAAUAGUUUGAGGUUGCAAUUCAAACGUUUUUACAGUCUAGGGUUGAAAAGUGGACCUUGUCCCUAAAAUAUAGGCAACUUUGUUUAAAAGAACUCAUAUGAAUUCGACAACCUACAGAAUACUCUAGUAUAGAACCAAGUACACAAAUAACAAGAACAAAGAAUAAGUAAUUGAUUGAUUGCAUGAUCACUAUCAGCAAAAGCUAACCUGAAAUAGGGCCUUUGGAAGCUGUGGAAUUCCUUGCAGGAGUGCUUUGGCACGGUCCUUAUUUUGAGUAGUUAGGGUCUGUCACAAAGGAGGCAUCAACAAACUAAAAUUAGCCAUGGGUAAUUUAUUAUCUUCAGGGCAUUGAUAUUGAGACUUCAAGUUAACCUUCAACUCAGACAUGAAUUCAUACAACUGAUGUCUUGACAUCCUGGCCAGGUAGUGGGUAAGAGGGUCGUUUCCAAGUCCAUAUUGGACAGGUAAACCAUUUUGCACAUUUGCAGUUUGAGCUGCACCAAGAACACCAGCCAUCACAGAUGCAGCAUGUAUUGCUGGUGGAAGACCAACAGGCUGAUGAAGGCUGGUGUCUCCUACAACGGGAGUCGCAGUUGGCUGUUUCGGAGCAUCUACAGGAGGAGUCCAUCAAGACAUCAAUGUUAGCAUGCAAUGGCAUAAAAUCACAUUUGAAGUUUAAUGUAUACACAUAAACUACAUGAUCAAGAAAUUGCAACCAACCAACACAAGAUGCCAUUCCUGGUCCUCCACGACCCUGCAAUGCAUAAACAUAUGAAGAAUAAGUCAAAAGGCUUUUAUUGAGAAAUUUGAUUGGUUGAGAUUCCGUAAUGUGCAAGCAUCAAAUAAGAAUGAUCGCACUAACUCCAUUUCCAUGCUGAAGCUACUUAAUUCUAAUAAGUAAAGUUAGAACAUCUAGUGUCCUUCAUGUAGUUACAUAAUGCAAGAGUAUUUCACUAUGAUCUCUGGAGAAUUUAGAUAAAAAUUAGAAUCCCUGUGUAAAUAACUGUAUGAACCAAUCAACUGCAUCCAGUUGCAAAACUUUGAUACAUGUAUUCUUUUCUUGUGGAUGCACUCGACACCUUGGCAACAAAAACUGGCACGUACAUAUCAGCAUCAGUGACUGCUGCAGGUAGCAGAAAAUGGUGUAGCAAUUAUUUUAAGAGAAGAGGGAAUCUGAUGGUAACCCAAAACAGAACUGUAAGCACUUACACACACACACAGACACAUAAUAGUGCAAUUGGAUCAUUUCAGAAAUCAAUUCACUAAUAAUUCCAGCCCGUUUGCUGGCGCUCAUCACAAACUCAUCACAAAAGACAUAACUACAAAUGCAUUGGCCAAGCAUAAUUCUUCUACAAGACAAUCCUUCUCGGCUAUUUGCAGAGAACCUCACAUGUUCAGUACAAUUCUGGUGAAUAUCUCUCAAUCCAUGAUAUAUGCUUUUGUUAAGACAUCAGCUUUGGAACUUCACUAUUGUAAAACAAGUAAAACUGAGACAGCAGAGAUACUUUUGGAACCGCGAUACCAAAAAUGAUAAGCCAUACCAGAAAGAUAAUUUCACAAGGUAAUUUGGCAUAAAGAGCAUGUGUGCAUAUGUACAGCUUCCUAGCUGUACAUACAAACACAUGCCGUGCAAGAAAGUGAAACAGGAUACACGGGAUGGUUGGAGAAAAUACUACUAUUAUAAUUCAUGGGAACCAAAACCAUACAAGCUUUCAUCUUAACAUAGGACUUGCAAGGUGAGAAAUAAGGUUCUUCUACAGUAAUGAACUGAGGAUCUUCCACCUUUUCUCUAUUUCUGUCAGUGUUCCUCCCAUUUUCAGCAAAAUCAACACGUAACUGACGGCCAUUAACUUCAUAACCCUGAAGGUUCCGACGUGCACUUAGAGCAGUCUCCUCAUCCUUGUACUCGCAAAACCCAUAACCCUUCGGCUUCCCAGUUUCUUUGUCAACAACCAGCCUGCAACCAAUUUUGAGAAGUCAGUAUUCAGCAAAGUCAUAGCCCAACAGCGCACAUACAUGUAUCUUUGGGUUUUCCGUGGAAAAUAACUCAUAACUAGUUUUAUUCCAAAUGUCGGUAACAGUCCAAGAAACAUUUCUAUCUAAAUCCAAAAUCAUGUAUUAGCACAAUCUUUGAUAGCUUAACAAGCUAUAGCGCCACACACAAAACUUGUAGGGUUUGCACGAUUUCAACUAAACCUGAAGGAGACCACGGGGCCGACUUCCUCGCAUAUCUGCACGAGCUGCUCCUCCGUCGCAUCGUAAGGUAUGUUCCCAACUGCAACCAAAUUCAAGCAGGCAACACCCGCGUCAAUCAAACUCAACGAACCUACUAAGCCAACACAAAUUCAAGCAGGCAACACCCGAGUCGCACGAUUCGGAACUUCAAAGUAACCCACGGAAAGCAGACACCUUUCUCUGGGGAACCGGAAGGCGCGACGAAUGCGAAGCAUGAAAAAAAGAGGCAAACCCUAGAACAGUAAUGCCAAAACUAGAAAAUAAAAUUCAGCCCCAAAUCCAGCGGCGGAGCCAGCUAAAACGCGCUUCCUUCCGUCCGUCG